RNAcentral lists this ribosomal RNA (467 nucleotides) under uncultured bacterium. RNAcentral describes it as "partial 16S ribosomal RNA". It matches the Rfam family "Bacterial small subunit ribosomal RNA", at positions 29 to 507 of the family's 1533-position model. The record is from RNAcentral.
ACGAACGCUGGCGGCGUGCUUAACACAUGCCAGUUGAACGGAAAGGCCCUGCUUUUGUGGGGUGCUCGAGUGGCGAACGGGUGAGUAACACGUGAGUAACCUGCCCUUGACUUUGGGAUAACUUCAGGAAACUGGGGCUAAUACCGGAUAGGAGCUCCUGCUGCAUGGUGGGGGUUGGAAAGUUUCGGCGGUUGGGGAUGGACUCGCGGCUUAUCAGCUUGUUGGUGGGGUAGUGGCUUACCAAGGCUUUGACGGGUAGCCGGCCUGAGAGGGUGACCGGCCACAUUGGGACUGAGAUACGGCCCAGACUCCUACGGGAGGCAGCAGUGGGGAAUAUUGCACAAUGGGCGGAAGCCUGAUGCAGCAACGCCGCGUGCGGGAUGACGGCCUUCGGGUUGUAAACCGCUUUCGCCUGUGACGAAGCGUGAGUGACGGUAAUGGGUAAAGAAGCACCGGCUAACUACGUG